This 409-nucleotide ribosomal RNA is filed under the name uncultured bacterium. Its description in RNAcentral is "bacterial SSU rRNA". It matches the Rfam family "Bacterial small subunit ribosomal RNA", at positions 354 to 777 of the family's 1533-position model. The record is from RNAcentral.
GUGGGGAAUAUUGGACAAUGGGGGGAACCCUGAUCCAGCGACGCCGCGUGAGUGAAGAAGUAAUUCGUUAUGUAAAGCUCUAUCAGCAGGGAAGAAGAAAGUGACGGUACCUGACUAAGAAGCCCCGGCUAACUACGUGCCAGCAGCCGCGGUAAUACGUAGGGGGCAAGCGUUAUCCGGAUUUACUGGGUGUAAAGGGAGCGUAGACGGUAAUGCAAGUCUGGAGUGAAAGGCGGGGGCCCAACCCCCGGACUGCUCUGGAAACUGUGAUACUGGAGUGCAGGAGAGGUAAGUGGAAUUCCUAGUGUAGCGGUGAAAUGCGUAGAUAUUAGGAAGAACACCAGUGGCGAAGGCGGCUUGCUGGACAGUAACUGACGUUGAGGCUCGAAAGCGUGGGGAGCAAACAGGA